RNAcentral lists this ribosomal RNA (392 nucleotides) under uncultured bacterium. RNAcentral's name for it is "partial 16S ribosomal RNA". It matches the Rfam family "Bacterial small subunit ribosomal RNA", at positions 523 to 918 of the family's 1533-position model. The record is from RNAcentral.
AUACGGAGGAUGCGAGCGUUAUCCGGAUUUAUUGGGUUUAAAGGGAGCGUAGGCGGGAGCUUAAGUCAGCGGUUAAAUGGUGCGGCUCAACCGUGCCCUGCCGUUGAAACUGGGUUUCUUGAGAGUGCAAGAGGCGGAUGGAAUUCAUGGUGUAGCGGUGAAAUGCUUAGAUAUCAUGAAGAACUCCGAUUGCGAAGGCAGUCCGCUGGGGCACGUCUGACGCUGAUGCUCGAAGGUGCGGGAAUCAAACAUGAUUAGAUACCCUGGUAGUCCGCACGGUAAACGAUGAUUACCCGCUGUCGGCGGUAGACAGUCGGCGGCCAAGCGAAAGCGAUAAGUAAUCCACCUGGGGAGUACGCCGGCAACGGUGAAACUCAAAGGAAUUGACGGGA